Homo sapiens (human) is the source of this 389-nucleotide long non-coding RNA. Lineage: Eukaryota; Metazoa; Chordata; Mammalia; Primates; Hominidae. The record is from Ensembl.
AGCCUGUCAAGGGCAUAGUCCUUUGUGGCUGAUGCUUACAGCUGAUCAGAACCCAGGACACUAGCACUUACUAUCAAGGUUAUAGGGAGGCUGAUGCUUACAGCUGAUCAGAACCCAGGACACUAGCACUUACUAUCAAGGUUAUAGGGAGGCUGAUGCUUACAGCUGAUCAGAAUCCAGGACACUAGCACUCACUAUCAAGGUUAUAGGGAGGUGGCAGAGAAAAGAAGUUCAGCGAGAGUGGUGCCUCUUUUCAAAAUGGUAUGACAGUCCCUAGGUUCUCUGGCUCCUGUUUCUGGAUUCAGUGCUGUGAGGGCCUCUCACCAUCAUGUGGUCUGUGUGAACCAACCAUCAGGGCAGUUUAGGUACUGCAGGGUGUUGGGGCCCCA